UGAGGAAUAUUGGUCAAUGGACGCAAGUCUGAACCAGCCAAGUAGCGUGUAGGAUGACGGCCCUAUGGGUUGUAAACUGCUUUUAUAUGGGGAUAAAGUGGGGAACGUGUUCCCUUUUGCAGGUACCAUAUGAAUAAGGACCGGCUAAUUCCGUGCCAGCAGCCGCGGUAAUACGGAAGGUUCGGGCGUUAUCCGGAUUUAUUGGGUUUAAAGGGAGCGUAGGCCGUUUGGUAAGCGUGUUGUGAAAUGUAGGAGCUCAACUUCUAGAUUGCAGCGCGAACUGUCAGACUUGAGUGCGCACAACGUAGGCGGAAUUCAUGGUGUAGCGGUGAAAUGCUUAGAUAUCAUGAAGAACUCCGAUUGCGAAGGCAGCUUACGGGAGCGCAACUGACGCUGAAGCUCGAAGGUGCGGGUAUCGAACAGG
Molecule: ribosomal RNA, 424 nt
Filed under: Verrucomicrobiota bacterium
Lineage: Bacteria; Pseudomonadati; Verrucomicrobiota
Description: Verrucomicrobia bacterium partial 16S ribosomal RNA
Rfam family: Bacterial small subunit ribosomal RNA
Source: RNAcentral